AGCUCCUGCCGAGGCCAGGGGAGGCCUGAGGCGCAAAGCAGGGUUGGGCGCAAGCCACGGCUGGAUAAGGCACCGCCCUCUCCCGGGGGGGCGGUGACUCCUCUGGACAUGAGCUGGGCCCUUCCUGUGGAUCACCCCAGCUGUGACAGGGUCACUUGCCUCUCCCACUCCAUGGAGAUGUGGGGAGGAGGUGUUCUACCUCGGCCAGCGUUGGCAGCUGACUUAGAACUGAUGCGGACCAGGGGAAUCCGACUGUUUUAAUUAAGACUAAGCAUUGCAAAGGCCAACGGUGAGUGUUGACAUAAUGUGAUUUCUGCCCAGUGCUCUGAAUGUCAACGU
Molecule: non-coding RNA, 339 nt
Filed under: Chelonia mydas (Green sea turtle)
Lineage: Eukaryota; Metazoa; Chordata; Testudines; Cheloniidae
Description: Eukaryotic large subunit ribosomal RNA
Rfam family: Eukaryotic large subunit ribosomal RNA
Source: Rfam by way of RNAcentral